This 356-nucleotide ribosomal RNA is filed under the name uncultured bacterium. RNAcentral describes it as "bacterial SSU rRNA". It matches the Rfam family "Bacterial small subunit ribosomal RNA", at positions 8 to 353 of the family's 1533-position model. The record is from RNAcentral.
AGAGUUUGAUCAUGGCUCAGGAUGAACGCUAGCGACAGGCUUAACACAUGCAAGUCGGAGGGGCAGCAUGAUUUGUAGCAAUACAGAUUGAUGGCGACCGGCGCACGGGUGAGUAACGCGUAUGCAACUUACCUAUCAGGGGGGGAUAGCCCGGCGAAAGUCGGAUUAAUACCCCAUAAAACAGGGGUCCCGCAUGGGAAUAUUUGUUAAAGAUUCAUCGCUGAUAGAUAGGCAUGCGUUCCAUUAGGCAGUUGGCGGGGUAACGGCCCACCAAACCGACGAUGGAUAGGGGUUCUGAGAGGAAGGUCCCCCACAUUGGUACUGAGACACGGUCCAAACUCCUACGGGAGGCAGCA